RNAcentral lists this unclassified non-coding RNA (297 nucleotides) under Basidiomycota sp. RNAcentral describes it as "partial contains small subunit ribosomal RNA, internal transcribed spacer 1, and 5.8S ribosomal RNA". The stretch from base 1 to 47 matches the Rfam family "Eukaryotic small subunit ribosomal RNA", at positions 1785 to 1831 of the family's 1831-position model. The record is from RNAcentral. Lineage: Eukaryota; Fungi; Basidiomycota.
AAAGUCGUAACAAGGUUUCCGUAGGUGAACCUGCGGAAGGAUCAUUAUCAUAACAUCCACGUUAAACCAUUGUGAAUCGUACCCGCUUUUCGGGCCUCGAGGAGAAUCAAAUGUGCUGUCAGAUUGCGCAUCUGCUGUCUUUUGUAACUUCUCGGCCUGUUACAGCAUGUUAUCAUACACACUUGAACCCAUCAUUAUACCUUUGUACUAACCAUUGCAUACUCUUGGCUAAUAACCUGGAGAUGUGAUAAAUACGAAACAUAAGAACAACUCUUAGCAACGGAUAUCUUGGCUCUC